UACCUGGUUGAUCCUGCCAGUAGUCAUAUGCUUGUCUCAAAGAAUAAGCCCUGGAUUUGUAAAAUUGAACUAAAUCAGACUUUUGAA
This 87-nucleotide ribosomal RNA is filed under the name Eucalyptus obconica. Its description in RNAcentral is "partial 18S ribosomal RNA". It matches the Rfam family "Eukaryotic small subunit ribosomal RNA", at positions 1 to 91 of the family's 1831-position model. The record is from RNAcentral. Lineage: Eukaryota; Viridiplantae; Streptophyta; Magnoliopsida; Myrtales; Myrtaceae.